GCAUGGCGCUUCUUCCUGGCUGCUGGAGGUUGUCUAGGACUCAGAGCAACACCUGCUGCUAGGCAACCGCCCUUCCAGCCCUCCGGGGGUGGGCGUGGCCACGCGCUGGGCGGAGCCAAGGCUUUCUUGUCCCAGGUCCCCAGGCCCGUGAUGACAAGAGUUGUAGACCCUAACUCUAAUUGCACCCUCUGUGGUAAGUGUUAACUUGAACGGGUGAAUGACCAGCUAUGGAAAGCACGUGUCUGGCUGCCCUUUACGAAGUUGCCUCGUUUUGUCAGGAUCCUUCGCUCAAGACCACAGACAACCCAGGAAGAACCUGGAGGUCCAUGGUUGAGAGACCCCACUGAAGGGAGGAAGCUGGACCCCUGGACACAGCCUCAGCAGCCUGCUUUGUUCUGGGAGAGGAGAGAGCAUCUGUUCUCCAGUCCUGAGAUUCAGGGGUGGAUUUUGUUUGGUUCUUUUUUUUUUUUUUCUUCAGUCAUUCGUCUGACAGUUACCUUCCUGUGAGUGCAACACACGUUUAUAAAAACCAGCAUAGUUGAUGUUUUUAUACUCAUUAUGAAAAAUACAUGGGUUAAAAACUCUCA
Molecule: long non-coding RNA, 587 nt
Organism: Mesocricetus auratus (golden hamster)
Lineage: Eukaryota; Metazoa; Chordata; Mammalia; Rodentia; Cricetidae
Exons: 2
Source: RefSeq, a predicted model, not a curated record